RNAcentral lists this long non-coding RNA (571 nucleotides) under Oryza sativa Indica Group (long-grained rice). RNAcentral describes it as "lncRNA OsZS97_03G023050". The record is from RNAcentral. Lineage: Eukaryota; Viridiplantae; Streptophyta; Magnoliopsida; Poales; Poaceae.
GCCGCGCGUCUCCCCCCGAUCCCCUCCCCUCCUCCUCUCUCUCUCGCACAACCACCGCCACCACCACCCUCUAUGCCCCGCACGCACCCCUCUCCCCUCCUCUCUCUCGCACACCCGCCGCCACCGCCGGCGUCGAUCCGUCGUCGAUUCCCAUCUCCAGAUCGACGCCACUGGCGCCCCCGCACGCCGCAAGAACGCUGUCGCCUCGGCUCAUCGAUCUCCGACAACGCCGCCGCGCGCCGCCGUCGAUCUCCGCCGCAAGAACAAUGUCGCCCCGCCUCACCGAGCUCCUCCGACGAUAUUCCGCGUCAAUUAAUCUUCAGAGCAAUAAGGGACAUCAAUUUCCACCUUGCUGAUAUCGCGGCACCGUUGAUACCGGUCACCGGAGAGCGUCUAUUUCACCUGCACUGCUCCUGUUGUCAUCCACGACCACACUGCAUCUAUGUCCUCGACCUCUACCUGUCGCUGACGACCAUCCAGGAAGGUCGCCCUCGCAGCGUUCUAAGCUGGGUUCCGUCCGUGCCCACCAUUGAGGUAAACUACUAUAUAUAUAGUUCUUAAAGUUUCAUAA